RNAcentral lists this long non-coding RNA (416 nucleotides) under Danio rerio (zebrafish). RNAcentral describes it as "lncRNA (ENSDARG00000117394.1)". Lineage: Eukaryota; Metazoa; Chordata; Actinopteri; Cypriniformes; Danionidae. The record is from RNAcentral.
AAAACUUUAGUUAACGGUAUAGGAAUGGUUUUAAGUCAAGCUAAUUUAGCUCUUACUUUAGAGGGUCAAACUUACCUUCAGGACCCCUAAAUGUAUGCUGACUAGGAAAACUGAGGAGUCAACAUCCACAACAAGUUUCAAUUCUUCCAAAGCAGCUGCGUUUGCUGAAUUUGCUGUGGAAAUGAAGAGAUGGUGCGAUGACGAAAGGAGGAAAGAGGAAGCAAGCCAGAAAAGAAUAAGAAUGAGAGAGAAAAGAAAAAGCACCACUGUGCACAGCCGUCUCAAAAUCAACCACCUGCAUUCUGACACCCCUAUCUGUAGCAUCUCCGAUUGAUAAAAAGAGAGCCAAUUCAGAGAUGAUGAAUGCAACAUUUUUCUCCUGGAAUGAUAAAGCGCACGCUGGACCGUAAACUGCA